Molecule: ribosomal RNA, 835 nt
Filed under: Salmonella enterica subsp. enterica serovar Stanley
Lineage: Bacteria; Pseudomonadati; Pseudomonadota; Gammaproteobacteria; Enterobacterales; Enterobacteriaceae
Description: partial 23S ribosomal RNA
Rfam family: Bacterial large subunit ribosomal RNA
Source: RNAcentral
CGCGCGAUACAGGGUGACAGCCCCGUACACAAAAGCGCAUGUGUUGUGAGCUCGAUGAGUAGGGCGGGACACGUGGUAUCCUGUCUGAAUAUGGGGGGACCAUCCUCCAAGGCUAAAUACUCCUGACUGACCGAUAGUGAACCAGUACCGUGAGGGAAAGGCGAAAAGAACCCCGGCGAGGGGAGUGAAAAAGAACCUGAAACCGUGUACGUACAAGCAGUGGGAGCACCCUUCGGGGUGUGACUGCGUACCUUUUGUAUAAUGGGUCAGCGACUUAUAUUCUGUAGCAAGGUUAACCGAAUAGGGGAGCCGGAGGGAAACCGAGUCUUAAUUGGGCGUUAAGUUGCAGGGUAUAGACCCGAAACCCGGUGAUCUAGCCAUGGGCAGGUUGAAGGUUGGGUAACACUAACUGGAGGACCGAACCGACUAAUGUUGAAAAAUUAGCGGAUGACCUGUGGCUGGGGGUGAAAGGCCAAUCAAACCGGGAGAUAGCUGGUUCUCCCCGAAAGCUAUUUAGGUAGCGCCUCGUGAAUUCAUCUCCGGGGGUAGAGCACUGUUUCGGCUAGGGGGCCAUCCCGGCUUACCAACCCGAUGCAAACUGCGAAUACCGGAGAAUGUUAUCACGGGAGACACACGGCGGGUGCUAACGUCCGUCGUGAAGAGGGAAACAACCCAGACCGCCAGCUAAGGUCCCAAAGUCAUGGUUAAGUGGGAAACGAUGUGGGAAGGCCCAGACAGCCAGGAUGUUGGCUUAGAAGCAGCCAUCAUUUAAAGAAAGCGUAAUAGCUCACUGGUCGAGUCGGCCUGCGCGGAAGAUGUAACGGGGCUAAACCAU